RNAcentral lists this ribosomal RNA (430 nucleotides) under uncultured bacterium. Its description in RNAcentral is "bacterial SSU rRNA". It matches the Rfam family "Bacterial small subunit ribosomal RNA", at positions 29 to 507 of the family's 1533-position model. The record is from RNAcentral.
AACGAACGCUGGCGGCAGGCCUAACACAUGCAAGUCGAGCGCCCCGCAAGGGGAGCGGCGGACGGGUGAGUAACGCGUGGGAACGCACCCUUUGCUACGGAAUAGCCUCGGGAAACUGGGAGUAAUACCGUAUGUGCCCUUCGGGGGAAAGAUUUAUCGGCAAAGGAUCGGCCCGCGUUGGAUUAGGUAGUUGGUGGGGUAAUGGCCUACCAAGCCGACGAUCCAUAGCUGGUUUGAGAGGAUGAUCAGCCACACUGGGACUGAGACACGGCCCAGACUCCUACGGGAGGCAGCAGUGGGGAAUCUUAGACAAUGGGCGCAAGCCUGAUCUAGCCAUGCCGCGUGAGCGAUGAAGGCCUUAGGGUUGUAAAGCUCUUUCAGUGGGGAAGAUAAUGACUGUACCCACAGAAGAAGCCCGGCUAACUCCGUG